GAGCUCUUUCUGAGAUGAAGAGAACUCUCAAUGUCAAGAUUUCAACAAGAAGAGAAUGGAAUACACGAUACGGACAUCCAUAAAAAUUCUUCAGAGGGUGUUUUACUACUGAGCUGCAAAGGCUUGAGUGCAGUGGUGCCAUCUCAGGUCACUUCAACCUCCACCUCCUGGCCUCAAGCGAUUCUCCCGCCUCAGCCUCCUGAGUAC
RNAcentral lists this long non-coding RNA (207 nucleotides) under Pongo abelii (Sumatran orangutan). RNAcentral's name for it is "lincRNA". The record is from RNAcentral. Lineage: Eukaryota; Metazoa; Chordata; Mammalia; Primates; Hominidae.